Molecule: ribosomal RNA, 497 nt
Filed under: uncultured bacterium
Lineage: Bacteria
Description: partial 16S ribosomal RNA
Rfam family: Bacterial small subunit ribosomal RNA
Source: RNAcentral
GAUGAACGCUGGCGGCGUGCCUAAUACAUGCAAGUCGAGCGAACGGACGAGAAGCUUGCUUCUCUGAUGUUAGCGGCGGACGGGUGAGUAACACGUGGAUAACCUACCUAUAAGACUGGGAUAACUUCGGGAAACCGGAGCUAAUACCGGAUGAUAUUUUGAACCGCAUGGUUCAAAAGUGAAAGAAGGUCUUGCUGUCACUUAUAGAUGGAUCCGCGCUGCAUUAGCUAGUUGGUAAGGUAACGGCUUACCAAGGCAACGAUGCAUAGCCGACCUGAGAGGGGGGUCGGCCACACUGGAACUGAGACACGGUCCAGACUCCUACGGGAGGCAGCAGUAGGGAAUCUUCCGCAAUGGGCGAAAGCCUGACGGAGCAACGCCGCGUGGGUGAUGAAGGGCUUCGGAUCGUAAAACUCUGUUAUUAGGGAAGAACAUAUGUGUAAGUAACUGUGCACAUCUUGACGGUACCUAAUCAGAAAGCCACGGCUAACUACGUG